GAUGAACGCUGGCGGCGUGCCUAACACAUGCAAGUCGAACGGAGAUUACGGACGGAAGUUUUCGGAUGGAAGACUGUAAUUCUUAGUGGCGGACGGGUGAGUAACGCGUGGGCAACCUGCCCUAUACAGGGGGAUAGCAGCUGGAAACGGCUGGUAAGACCGCAUAAGUCGGCGAGACCGCAUGGUUUUGCCGGGAAAUGAGCAAUCAGGUAUAGGAUGGGCCCGCGUCCGAUUAGCCAGUUGGCAGGGUAAAAGCCUACCAAAGCAACGAUCGGUAGCCGGACUGAGAGGUCGGACGGCCACAUUGGGACUGAGACACGGCCCAAACUCCUACGGGAGGCAGCAGUGGGGGAUAUUGCACAAUGGAGGAAACUCUGAUGCAGCGACGCCGCGUGAGUGAAGAAGUAGUUCGGUAUGUAAAGCUCUAUCAGCAGGGAAGAUGAUGACGGUACCUGACUAAGAAGCCCCGGCUAACUACGUG
Molecule: ribosomal RNA, 481 nt
Filed under: uncultured bacterium
Lineage: Bacteria
Description: partial 16S ribosomal RNA
Rfam family: Bacterial small subunit ribosomal RNA
Source: RNAcentral